Molecule: transfer RNA, 77 nt
Filed under: Candidatus Enterosoma merdigallinarum
Lineage: Bacteria; Bacillati; Bacillota; Bacilli; Caryophanales
Description: tRNA-Arg
Rfam family: tRNA
About the family: Transfer RNA (tRNA) molecules are approximately 80 nucleotides in length. Their secondary structure includes four short double-helical elements and three loops (D, anti-codon, and T loops).
Source: RNAcentral
GCGCUCGUAGCUCAGCUGGAUAGAGUACCUGACUACGAAUCAGGGGGUCAUGGGUUCGAUUCCCUUCGAGCGCACCA